ACAUUUGAUUUUGACAUUUAGUGUCGGCUCGGUCAGUUUCGGCCGCUAAGCUAAACCUUUUCGAUAAACAUACAAAUUACAAAGUAAAAUCAAAGAAGAUUUGUCUAAGAACGAGUGUUAUCUCGGCUUAUGAUUGUUUUUUGAUAAUAGUAAUUUGAAUUGUUUGCUUUUUAUGUGCAGCUUCGGGGAAACGAAAUGAUUGGUGCAAAACGCCAAUUUUUUAUUAAUGAAAAAUAACAAGUGUUUCGUGAACCUUGGUUAAUGUAAUGAUUAAAUUAAAUACCGUAAUAAUGUGAGUGAAACGCUAGGUAAUAUAAUAGGUAUUUAUAACAUUUCAAACAUUGUCUUGGGUUGUGAUGUUAUUUUCAUCCCGACAUGGGAAAGUUCAGCACAUACAGGUACUUAGAGUUAAAAGAUAGCAAUUCAGUGGGGCCAGUGAGCUCGCGCAGCAUCUCCCUCCAGCGGCCGCGCCGUCUCAAGCGAUUCUUCAUCCUGCUCAUUGUGGUGACCCUCUGUGGCACUUACCUCAUGGGGCUGCUGGCGGGGCAGCC
Long non-coding RNA from Papilio polytes (common Mormon), 551 nucleotides. RefSeq lists it as uncharacterized. The record is from RefSeq and is a predicted model, not a curated record. The transcript is spliced from 3 exons. NCBI's taxonomy places the organism in Eukaryota, Metazoa, Arthropoda, Insecta, Lepidoptera, Papilionidae.